CGCCUGGCCAAAAAAAAUGGUUUCUUGCUCGAACCACAUCGGUGUUGCUUAUUCCCUUUUUGAGGGGUACCUACAGAUGUUUUACUGAACACUUUAUUUCUUUUAAGCGGGUCAUAAAAUCUGAUUCGAUAUGUGAAUGAAAAUGGUUUCUAAAAUGUGGAUAUUGUGGUAAUAACAGAUGAGAGGCAUUUAUUUUAAUAUAUUAUGUUUAACAUUUUAAUAUAUUGUGCCUAGCAUUUAAAAAAAAUU
This 249-nucleotide long non-coding RNA is filed under the name Mytilus galloprovincialis (Mediterranean mussel). Lineage: Eukaryota; Metazoa; Mollusca; Bivalvia; Mytilida; Mytilidae. The record is from RNAcentral.